RNAcentral lists this ribosomal RNA (485 nucleotides) under uncultured bacterium. RNAcentral's name for it is "partial 16S ribosomal RNA". It matches the Rfam family "Bacterial small subunit ribosomal RNA", at positions 29 to 523 of the family's 1533-position model. The record is from RNAcentral.
AGUGAACGCUGGCGGUGUGCUUAACACAUGCAAGUCGAACGAGAACGGAAUAUAGCUUGCUAUAUUUGUCAGCUAAGUGGCGCACGGGUGAGUAAUGUAUAGAUAACCUGCCCUUAAGAAAGGAAUAACAGUUGGAAACGACUGCUAAUGCCCUAUAUGCCUUUAAUACAUAAGUAUGCAAGGGAAACGCUUUAGUGCUUAAGGAUGGGUCUGUAUGGUAUCAGCUUGUUGGUGAGGUAAUGGCUCACCAAGGCUAUGACGCCUAACUGGUUUGAGAGGAUGAUCAGUCACACUGGAACUGAGAAACGGUCCAAACUCCUACGGGAGGCAGCAGUGUGGAAUAUUGCACAAUGGACGAAAGUCUGAUGCCGCAACGCCGCGUGGAGGAUGACACAUUUCGGUGCGUAAACUCCUUUUAUAUAGGAAGAUAAUGACGGUACUAUAUGAAUAAGCACCGGCUAACUCCGUGCCAGCCGCCGCAGUAA